CUCUCUCUUUCGCUCCUCUCUAUGUGAGUGCACUAGGUGGAUGACAAUCAAAUGACUCAUUGAGCAGCUGGAGAGGCCGACCCCCGGCGAGGGCUUAACUACGGAAAGUGAGCAUGAUCAUGUCACACUUCACAAUGCUCGUUGGCUGUAGCCGUGGCAGCGGGAGGAACGGGGAGGGGCUACCUUAAAGAGACAGUGACACGGCUGCAGCUGGACCACUGCUUCAUGCUGCCGAACUUCCAGCUUGCUAGCAAACGUAUGCGAAAGUGUCAUAUCCACACUUGGCUACUGACCAGUGGAAGCAUCAUAUCGCAUCUGAAGUCACUCCAGAUGUUCCCGCUCUGGCUCGUCGCAACCUGCACAUCUGUUUAAAGCAAACCGCAUAUCCAGGAUUGAAAUCCCCACAAGACAAGCAGAGACUGACGGAUCUUAAGCAAAGUUCACACUGUGUGCGCCGUGAGAUGCACCGAGCCCACCCAAAACUGUCAAAACGACAAACAGUACAUCUCCCCCCACAAGCCGAGCCCUGAUAUCGCAGCCGGUGUCAUUGCAAAUGGACGACAUCUUCUGUGCGUGCCUGAUAAGGGCACUCACCUCACAGUGACCCGAUUCGAUGUACACACGCACACUCUCGCAAAUAUAACAUGAGCGUAUACAAACACACACACGCACACACAUAUCUGACGCAGAUACGCAAAGACACACACAGAAUCUCUCUUUCUGUCUCGUUCCCAUCUCGUUGCUUAGACGUGCAUGUCUCUGGCAGAUGUACAAUGUCACAACCGGGGAAGAGAAAAAAAAGUUGUGUUCUCAGGCAGACGCAUGCCUGCCAAUCACAUUUCACCAUGUCCAACCCUGUCACAAAGCCUGUCAUUCAAACCUCACAUCACACAGCCAUCCAUAGGGUUACCUUUCCUCUGUCAUUCUGUCAAUCACAACGCGUGGAGCCGAGGCACGAUCGGACAAGAGCACGAAUUUGCAAACCCCAUGAGUAAAGGAAACUCUCCGCAAAGCUAAAAGGCCUCCAGUCCUGCAAAUUAGUUGACUGACAGCUCAUGAUUGUCCUUCCUCAGCAGUGACACGUUGGAAUACUCCUAAACUACCAUCGGCUCGUCUUCAUUGGGCUUAGCUUUUUCUCAUCUUCACUCAUUCGUCUCCCCCCCCACUCACUCACUAUGCACUUUUUUACCCUGCAUGCGUGUGUCAAAACGUCAAUUUUGGCACGACAGGAUGUGACAAGGCCCGUUGCCCAGGGGGACGGCUGGAAUAGAGGGCUGCGCAAAUUGAUUUUGAUUUCAUUCCAAAUCAUUCAAAGUGUUUAGUUCUAAUGGGAGCUGAUCAGAGCGCAGUUCGGAGCACGGCACCGGGUCUAGAGAUUAGUUCUGUCAUUCGGGCGAUCAGGGCCUGUCGGGUCCGUUCCCUCACAGAGCCACGUCACAUCACGGGCCCCGUCAGCUGGGCUCCAUCUAAAGCCUACGGUUUACAUAACGGACACAGAGCAACACGAGCGAUACCAUCUACCUCACACGAGAGGUGCAGAGAUCCACCCACCGGCGUCCAAAGCUGUCACUAGCAUAUGCUAAUGCGACAAGAUUGAGGAAGAGAGCCGUUGCUACAAGCACUGUAUGCAAACAGGCUGCUGGGACUGGGGAAAAAGAGAGAGAAUUCUUUCAGUGGAUGGAAAACAGAGUGGAAGGUUCGGAUGAUUUGAACGUUUUGUGGAGCUUGACUGCAAUUUGCACUUUGUGCUCUUCAAUUGUCUGUUUUUUAAGACACGUCGGAGAGACUGAGGCUAGUUGUCAUGUUUUUACUCUAGUGAAUAUCUUUGAAAGUCAGUUUCUGUAUAGGCACACACCUUAUCUUGGCUACAAAAAAUAUUGAACAUGUUAUUGCCCAGAAAGAAAACACAUUAUAUUAGGGCAUGGUGUGUCACACUAUGAUGUCACAAAGCAAUGAAACCAUAAAGAUCGUGUAUCACAGGCAGUUUCUGCCAAUCUCAUAUUCAUCUUGAGUGCCUAUACAGUAGUAUUGCAUAAGUCGUAUCUUGAGUAUUUAGUUUGAUCAAAUUUAUAAAAGAAUUUUUCCGGAAGAUUAUUUCCGGAAAAACACGAGCUGCUAGAGGUGGGACUAGUGGGGAGAGUGGGAUGGAACUACAGCACGAGCAAGCAACACAUCAUCACAUUAAUCCCUUCGUGUUUUGUACAUUAUGCACGUACACGCCGAUUGACAACAAAACACAGACGUAUGACUUAGUUUGACUUACUGCGUGCAGUUCAUGUCCAGCAUCUAAUUAUUAAAAUCUUUCCAAAACAAGUUGGAGUGCCGGGGGAGUGUAUCAGAAAUACUACGUCAUAUGUCCAACUCGUUUUUUAACAAGUUGACCAUGUUAAGCAUGAGAAGCCGGCACGUUUAACAGUGUAAAGAAGUCAGAAUGCAUGACAAAGCAUGAUACCCGAUCUUUAAAUAGCCCACUGUAGAUUUUAAGUCAAAUUUAA
This is a long non-coding RNA of Triplophysa rosa, 2495 nucleotides long. RefSeq lists it as uncharacterized. Lineage: Eukaryota; Metazoa; Chordata; Actinopteri; Cypriniformes; Nemacheilidae. The record is from RefSeq and is a predicted model, not a curated record. The transcript is spliced from 3 exons.